GACGGGCGGCCCCGCCCGCCCCCGCCGCGGGGCGGCACCGAGCGGGGGCUCCGCGAUGGAGCGGGGCCGGGCAGAGUCCGGGCACGGGAACGGUGGUGUCUGCAGGGGCCUUUGGGGCAGGACCCGCAGAGCCCCGCACCGCUCAGCCUGUUGUGUCCGCACCGCUCACCCUGCUGUGUCCGCACCGCUCAGCUCAGCCCCGCACCACUCACCCUGCCCCGCACCGCUCAGCUCCACACUGCUCACCCUGCUCAGCCCCGCACCGCCCAGCUCAGCCCCACACCACUCACCCUGCUCGGCUCCGCACUGCUCAGCUCAGCCCCGCACCACUCACCAUGCUCGGCUCCGCACUGCUCAGCUCAGCCCCGCACCACUCACCUUGCUCAUCCCCGCACGGCUCAGCUCAGCCCCGCACUGCUCACUCUGCUCAUCCCCGCACGGCUCAGCUCAGCCCCGCACUGCUCUCUCUGCUCAUCCCCGCACGGCUCAGCUCAGCCCCGCACUGCUCUCUCUGCUCAUCCCCGCACGGCUCAGCUCAGCUCCACACUGCUCACCCUGCUCAGCCCCGCACUGCUCACCCUGCUCAGCCCCGCACUGCUCACCCUGCUGUGCCCGCAUCUCUCUGCAUCGCCCCGCACAGCUUAGCUUAGCUCCACCCUGCUGUGCCCGCACCGCUCAGCUCCACACUGCUCAGUCCUGCUUAGCCCCGCAUGGCCCCACUUUGCCUCGCACGGCUCAGCUCAGCUCAGCUCCACACGGCUCACGCUUCUUGCUCCCGCACCGCCCAGUCCCGCUGUGCCCCGCAUCUCCCCGCAUGGGCCCGCACCGCUCAGCCCAGCUCCACAUUCUCACCCUGCUCGGCCCCGCACGCCCCGCACGUCUCCAUGGGCAGCAGUCGGGCCGGGAGCCCGCUGGCAGCGGCGGGGGGAAAACGCCUGGUGUGCGGCUCGGGACCACCCCCGUCCACCGCCCGCACCCCCCCGUUACGCGGGAUCGCUGGCGCGGAGCCGCACCGGGGGCGCGGGGCUGGGGCAGCCCCGGGGCCGGACUCGGCCCGUUGUUAUAGCACCGGGGGAAACAGCUGUAAACACGGCCGGGACACCGCGGGCCGCCCGCCCACCUUGGCCGGAGCUCCGCGGGAGCGGCUCAGCGGCCCGAGCACACCCCAGCGGUACGGACCGACCCCGGGGCUCUGCCGGCCCGGGGGUUCCGAGGCCAGGGGCACCCCCGCACAAGCGGCCCCGCGGCCGGUCCGGCUCUCCCGGGCCGGGAUGCUCCCGGGCACGCGCCCGCCUGACCUCCCGGUGAACCGGCACUGUGAGCGGGGGCUGCCCCGGGACCGGCAGUGCCGGGGGGGGUCCCCGUAGCCCCCGGCCCAGUGCGCCGCGCCGGCACCGUACCCCCCUCCGGGACCAGAGCGGCCACCGGUCGCCCGCCGGUGUCCCCGGGAUGCGCCCGGUGAUUGACGGCUCUUUGUUUCCUCCUCGCCGGCCCCGCCGGCCCCUCCCCCGUGCGCCACCCCGCCCCGCCGCGCUCCGCUCCGCA
RNAcentral lists this long non-coding RNA (1545 nucleotides) under Parus major (Great Tit). RNAcentral's name for it is "lncRNA (ENSPMJG00000009790.1)". Lineage: Eukaryota; Metazoa; Chordata; Aves; Passeriformes; Paridae. The record is from RNAcentral.